GACGAACCGAGCGAACGUUAUUCGGAAUCACUGGGCUUAAAGGGCGCGUAGGCGGGCCGUCAAGUCGAGGGUGAAAUCCCCCAGCUCAACUGGGGAAGUGCCUCCGAUACUGGCGGCCUCGAGGGGGAUAGGGGCAUGCGGAACUUCCGGUGGAGCGGUGAAAUGCGUAGAUAUCGGAAGGAACACCGGUGGCGAAAGCGGCGUGCUGGAUCCCUUCUGACGCUGAGGAGCGAAAGCCAGGGGAGCAAACGGG
This 253-nucleotide ribosomal RNA is filed under the name uncultured bacterium. RNAcentral describes it as "partial 16S ribosomal RNA". It matches the Rfam family "Bacterial small subunit ribosomal RNA", at positions 524 to 776 of the family's 1533-position model. The record is from RNAcentral.